GGGGCCAGUGAAAUCAUAUAGGGCGAAUGAAUUUACCCGGCGCGUUUCGCCCUUAGAGUUGAUCCUGGCUCACGAUGAACGUUGGCGGCGUGCUUAACACAUGCAAGUCGAACGACGCAGCUUUCUUCGGAAAGGUGACUGACUGGCGGACGGGUGAGUAACGCGUGGGUAACCUGCCCUGUACAGGGGGAUAACAGUUAGAAAUGACUGCUAAUACCGCAUAAGCGCACAGUGCUGCAUGGCACAGUGUGAAAAACUCCGGUGGUAUAGGAUGGACCCGCGUCUGAUUAGCUAGUUGGCAGGGUAACGGCCUACCAAGGCGACGAUCAGUAGCCGGCUUGAGAGAGUGGACGGCCACAUUGGGACUGAGACACGGCCCAGACUCCUACGGGAGGCAGCAGUGGGGAAUAUUGCACAAUGGGGGAAACCCUGAUGCAGCGACGCCGCGUGAGUGAAGAAGUAUUUCGGUAUGUAAAGCUCUAUCAGCAGGGAAGAAAAUGACGGUACCUGACUAAGAAGCCCCGGCUAACUACGUGCCAGCAGCCGCGGUAAUACGUAGGGGGCAAGCGUUAUCCGGAAUUACUGGGUGUAAAGGGUGCGUAGGUGGUACGGCAAGUCAGAAGUGAAAGCCCGGGGCUCAACCCCGGGACUGCUUUUGAAACUGUCGGACUAGAGUGCAGGAGAGUAAGCGGAAUUCCUAGUGUAGCGGUGAAAUGCGUAGAUAUUAGGAGGAACACCAGUGGCGAAGGCGGCUUACUGGACUGUAACUGACACUGAGGCACGAAAGCGUGGGGAGCAAACAGGAUUAGAUACGCUGUAGGUCCACGCCGUAAACGAUGAAUACUAGGUGUCGGGGCCGUAGAGGCUUCGGUUCCGCAGCAGACGCAUUAAGUAUUCCACCUGGGGAGUACGUUCGCAAGAAUGAAACUCAAAGGAAUUGACGGGGACCCGCACAAGCGGUGGAGCAUGUGGUUUAAUUCGAAGCAACGCGAAGAACCUUACCUGGUCUUGACAUCCUCCUGACCGGGCCUUAACCGGCCUUUUCCUUCGGGACAGGAGAGACAGGUGGUGCAUGGUUGUCGUCAGCUCGUGUCGUGAGAUGUUGGAAUAAGUCCCGCAACGAGCGCAACCCUUAUCUUUAGUAGCCAGCAUUUUGGAUGGGCACUCUAGAGAGACUGCCAGGGAUAACCUGGAGGAAGGUGGGGAUGACGUCAAAUCAUCAUGCCCCUUAUGGCCAGGGCUACACACGUGCUACAAUGGUGGUAACAAAGUGAAGCGAGCCCGCGAGGGGGAGCAAAUCACAAAAAUGCCAUCUCAGUUCGGAUUGUAGUCUGCAACUCGACUACGUGAAGCUGGAAUCGCUAGUAAUCGCGAAUCAGAAUGUCGCGGUGAAUACGUUCCCGGGUNCAAGCACACACGUCCCGUCAAGGGCGAAUUCGUNUAAAACAACACGACUGGGCCCUUUAGUGAGGCUAAUUCUGGCUGCAGUCUGGAAAAAA
Molecule: ribosomal RNA, 1499 nt
Filed under: uncultured bacterium
Lineage: Bacteria
Description: bacterial SSU rRNA
Rfam family: Bacterial small subunit ribosomal RNA
Source: RNAcentral